This is a non-coding RNA of Parasteatoda tepidariorum (common house spider), 856 nucleotides long. Lineage: Eukaryota; Metazoa; Arthropoda; Arachnida; Araneae; Theridiidae. The record is from RefSeq and is a predicted model, not a curated record.
UACCAAACUCUUUGCUAGGAUAGCGAGUUCCUACAAUGAGCCAAUGUUGUACCCUUGCUGCCGGGCUGACCGUAGGAUGUUUUCGUGGUUUUCUACUCCAUAUAACUCAAAUGUGGGUCAGUUCCAUUAAAAAGUCCUUCCCGAAGGUUAGUUUGCUGCAAUGCUUGACCGCAUAUUGGAGCUGACAUUGGCUACGGAUUCAACGUUCAAGGAGGGCUGGAAAAUAAAAUGAGCUGAUGUUUAAAGAUUGAUGCUAUGAAAAAAACAGAAAGAGGAACGAGAAAUGGAAUCAGAGAUACAAGAAAAGGAACUGAAUGAAAAUUGGGUCGAAUUGAAUGAGUUAAAGAAAGAAGAGUCUCAGAUGGAAAGCAAACUCAAUUCAAGCAAAACUCAACUUGAUGCAUUGACUUCUUCUUUACAAAGUAGCACCCUUCAGAUAAGUCAAAAAAAAAUUAAAAUUGACCAAAUACAAGAGCAACAUAGGUUAAAUGAGUGAAGCUAUCAAGGAUAUAGAUAAUGUGCUUUCUUUUGUUGAUUUCCAAAAUAUAUCAAACUUUACUAUGUAUGGUUUUUCUACACCUAAUGAUGACAGAGCCUAUAUUUCACUAACAUGUCCCAAAAACCUUUGAUGAAGUUGAACCAGCUGUAACUGCACCUCUCAAUGAUUUUCAGGAGGAUCCAUUUAAAAGUAGUCAUCCCAUCGAAGGUAAAACAAAUGGAUUUGCAAAUGAUCCAUUUUCUGGUGAAGAUCCAUUCAAAUCUGAUCCUUUUGUUGAUACUAAUGUUGCAGCAGCUAGUGAUCCUUUCAGGGGAGACCCUUUUGAAAGUGCUUUUAAUGUAACUGCAUCACAAUGAA